GAUAAACGCUGGCGGCGUGCCUAAUACAUGCAAGUCGAGCGAACGGACGAGAAGCUUGCUUCUCUGAUGUUAGCGGCGGACGGGUGAGUAACACGUGGAUAACCUACCUAUAAGACUGGGAUAACUUCGGGGAACCGGAGCUAAUACCGGAUAAUAUUUUGAACCGCAUGGUUCAAAAGUGAAAGACGGUCUUGCUGUCACUUAUAGAUGGAUCCGCGCUGCAUUAGCUAGUUGGUAAGGUAACGGCUUACCAAGGCAACGAUGCAUAGCCGACCUGAGAGGGUGAUCGGCCACACUGGAACUGAGACACGGUCCAGACUCCUACGGGAGGCAGCAGUAGGGAAUCUUCCGCAAUGGGCGAAAGCCUGACGGAGCAACGCCGCGUGAGUGAUGAAGGUCUUCGGAUCGUAAAACUCUGUUAUUAGGGAAGAACAUAUGUGUAAGUAACUGUGCACAUCUUGACGGUACCUAAUCAGAAAGCCACGGCUAACUACGUGCCAGCAGCCGCGGUAAUACGUAGGUGGCAAGCGUUAUCCGGAAUUAUUGGGCGUAAAGCGCGCGUAGGCGGUUUUUUAAGUCUGAUGUGAAAGCCCACGGCUCAACCGUGGAGGGUCAUUGGAAACUGGAAAACUUGAGUGCAGAAGAGGAAAGUGGAAUUCCAUGUGUAGCGGUGAAAUGCGCAGAGAUAUGGAGGAACACCAGUGGCGAAGGCGACUUUCUGGUCUGUAACUGACGCUGAUGUGCGAAAGCGUGGGGAUCAAACAGGAUUAGAUACCCUGGUAGUCCACGCCGUAAACGAUGAGUGCUAAGUGUUAGGGGGUUUCCGCCCCUUAGUGCUGCAGCUAACGCAUUAAGCACUCCGCCUGGGGAGUACGACCGCAAGGUUGAAACUCAAAGGAAUUGACGGGGACCCGCACAAGCGGUGGAGCAUGUGGUUUAAUUCGAAGCAACGCGAAGAACCUUACCAAAUCUUGACAUCCUUUGACAACUCUAGAGAUAGAGCCUUCCCCUUCGGGGGACAAAGUGACAGGUGGUGCAUGGUUGUCGUCAGCUCGUGUCGUGAGAUGUUGGGUUAAGUCCCGCAACGAGCGCAACCCUUAAGCUUAGUUGCCAUCAUUAAGUUGGGCACUCUAAGUUGACUGCCGGUGACAAACCGGAGGAAGGUGGGGAUGACGUCAAAUCAUCAUGCCCCUUAUGAUUUGGGCUACACACGUGCUACAAUGGACAAUACAAAGGGCAGCGAAACCGCGAGGUCAAGCAAAUCCCAUAAAGUUGUUCUCAGUUCGGAUUGUAGUCUGCAACUCGACUACAUGAAGCUGGAAUCGCUAGUAAUCGUAGAUCAGCAUGCUACGGUGAAUACGUUCCCGGGUCU
Molecule: ribosomal RNA, 1372 nt
Filed under: uncultured bacterium
Lineage: Bacteria
Description: bacterial SSU rRNA
Rfam family: Bacterial small subunit ribosomal RNA
Source: RNAcentral